Molecule: non-coding RNA, 36 nt
Organism: Monodelphis domestica (gray short-tailed opossum)
Lineage: Eukaryota; Metazoa; Chordata; Mammalia; Didelphimorphia; Didelphidae
Source: Rfam
GAGGUUCUUGCUUCAGCAGUGUUUGGACGGAACCUC